Molecule: ribosomal RNA, 430 nt
Filed under: Pseudomonadota bacterium
Lineage: Bacteria; Pseudomonadati; Pseudomonadota
Description: Proteobacteria bacterium partial 16S ribosomal RNA
Rfam family: Bacterial small subunit ribosomal RNA
Source: RNAcentral
UGGGGAAUAUUGGACAAUGGGCGAAAGCCUGAUCCAGCCAUGCCGCGUGUGUGAAGAAGGCCUUAUGGUUGUAAAGCACUUUAAGCGAGGAGGAGGGUACUGGUAUUAAUACUACCAGGUACUGGACGUUACUCGCAGAAUAAGCACCGGCUAACUCUGUGCCAGCAGCCGAGGUAAUACAGAGGGUGCGAGCGUUAAUCGGAUUUACUGGGCGUAAAGCGUGCGUAGGCGGCUAAUUGAGUCGGAUGUGAAAUCCCCGAGCUUAACUUGGGAAUUGCAUUCGAUACUGGUUAGCUAGAGUGUGGGAGAGGAUGGUAGAAUUCCAGGUGUAGCGGUGAAAUGCGUAGAGAUCUGGAGGAAUACCGAUGGCGAAGGCAGCCAUCUGGCCUAACACUGACGCUGAGGUACGAAAGCAUGGGGAGCAAACAGG